GGCCUCCGCAUUGGGAGGAGCUCGCGGCGCAUUAGCUUGUUGGUGGGGUAACGGCCUACCAAGGCGACGAUGCGUAGCUGGUCUGAGAGGACGAUCAGCCACACUGGGACUGAGACACGGCCCAGACUCCUACGGGAGGCAGCAGUGGGGAAUCUUGCGCAAUGCGCGAAAGCGUGACGCAGCAACGCCGCGUGGGGGAAGACGGCCUUAGGGUUGUAAACCCCUUUCAGGAGGGACGAAGGUUCACCGGUGAAUAGCCGUGUGGAUUGACGGUACCUCCACAAGAAGCACCGGCUAACUACGUGCCAGCAGCCGCGGUAAUACGUAGGGUGCAAGCGUUGUCCGGAAUCAUUGGGCGUAAAGCGCGCGUAGGUGGUCCUGUAAGUCCGCUGUGAAAGUCAAAGGCUCAACCUUUGAAAGCCGGUGGAUACUGCAGGACUAGAGUACGGAAGAGGCGAGUGGAAUUCCUGGUGUAGCGGUGGAAUGCGCAGAUAUCAGGAGGAACACCAAUAGCGAAGG
This 519-nucleotide ribosomal RNA is filed under the name Solirubrobacter sp. Its description in RNAcentral is "bacterial SSU rRNA". It matches the Rfam family "Bacterial small subunit ribosomal RNA", at positions 210 to 721 of the family's 1533-position model. The record is from RNAcentral. Lineage: Bacteria; Bacillati; Actinomycetota; Thermoleophilia; Solirubrobacterales; Solirubrobacteraceae.